This 497-nucleotide ribosomal RNA is filed under the name uncultured bacterium. RNAcentral describes it as "partial 16S ribosomal RNA". It matches the Rfam family "Bacterial small subunit ribosomal RNA", at positions 28 to 507 of the family's 1533-position model. The record is from RNAcentral.
GACGAACGCUGGCGGCGUGCCUAAUACAUGCAAGUUGAGCGCUGAAGGUUGGUUCUUGUACCAACUGGGUGAGCAGCGAACGGGUGAGUAACGCGUGGGGAAUCUGCCUUUGAGCGGGGGACAACAUAUGGAACCGAAUGCUAAUACCGCAUAAAAACUUUAAACACAAGUUUCAAGUUUGAAAGCUGCAAUUGCAUCACUUAAAGAUGAUUCCGCGUUGUAUUAGCUAGGUGGUGAGGUAAAGGCACAACCAUGCGAUGAUACAUAGGCGAGCUGAGAGGGUGGUCGGUCACAAUGGGAAUGGGACACCGCCCAAACUCCUACGGGGGGGAGCAGGAGGGGAUCUUCGGACAUUGAGGGAAGUCUGACCGCGCAACGGCGGGGGGGUGAAGGAGGUUUUCGGGUCGGAAAACUCUGUUGGGAGGGAAGAACGGUGGGUAGGGUGAAAAGCUCAUCAAUUGACGGUAACUACCCAGAAAGGGACGGCUAACUACGUG